Molecule: long non-coding RNA, 9231 nt
Filed under: Prunus persica (peach)
Lineage: Eukaryota; Viridiplantae; Streptophyta; Magnoliopsida; Rosales; Rosaceae
Description: long non-coding RNA (PPER_LNC001015)
Rfam family: Plant small nucleolar RNA R71 (bases 5540-5646)
Source: RNAcentral
UAGGAUUCAUUUACACAAAGAAAGGCUUAACGUAGGCUCAAAUGGGAUGACUAGGGAUGAAUACAUGUAGAGGGAUGGUUAGAAAGGCUCAAACGGUUCAAACAUGGCCUAAAUCACUUCCUAAGCAUUGUAUGGCAACAAAAUGUCUCAAGAAAUAUUCAAAUAAGUUCUAGAGUACGAAACCAAGAUCAUGAGAUAACUAGAAUUGCAUAACGUCUCUAAGUAGCAAGAUGUUGGACUAACUUGGCAAAGUGCUCAAUAAGUGCAAGGAUGGCAUGCAGGACAAAGUUAACUUAGAAUCACACGCAGACCUUAAACAAUGACUAUCAAUUUCUGAAAAACCAUAAUAGUAUUAAAUCUAAGUCUUUAUCAUAGGUGUUUGGAAGGAUAACGAAACAACACACAAAAUCCUGCGUUUUUAGACAGUAGACACACUCAAAAAUUUUAAAAUUUGACAAUUUGAAACAGCAUAACUAAAUCCUUCCCCCCAAACUUAAAUGAAACAUUGUCCUCAAUGUUUAGAGUGUAAGAAAAAGCAAUGCCUCAUUAAUGAAAGGAAAGAAGACAAGGGAAAGACAUAACCAAAGGUUAGAUUUCAGAAAAACUCCCCUUUGAAGCGAUUAGGAUGCAAGCAAGCUUCCUCGCAUAUUCUAUCUUCUCCUCAUCACCUUGGGUUGCCUCCCAAGAAGCGCUAAGUUUCACGUCGUCAGCCGGACGUCCAAACUCUGGUGAGCUUUAAGAGAGUGGUGGAGGCUCCUUGAGUGCUUGAGACUCAAUAUUGGCAUCAAAGUUGGCAUCGAAGUAAGGUUUCAACCGAUGUCCAUUCACCUUGAAGGUGCUGCCAUCCUUAAUGUUUUGAAUCUCCACUGCGCCAUGAUUAAACACAUUAGUAAUAACAAAAGGGCCAAUCCACCGAGAACAAAGCUUACCUGGGAAGAGCUUAAGGCGUGAAUUGAAUAAGAGAACCUUCUGCCCUUUCUCAAACGUCUUCCUAAGAAUUUUCUUGUCGUGAUAUUGCUUUGUUUUCUCCUUGUAAAGCUUCGCAUUCUUAUACGCUUCAUGUCUCAACUCCUCCAGCUCAUUGAGUUGAAGCCUCCUCUUCUCACCAGCGGCUUUCAUAUCAAAAUUGAAGGCCUUGAUUGCCCAAUAAGCCCUGUGCUCAAGCUCCACUGGUAAGUGACAAGGUUUACCGAAAAUAAGUCUAUACGGAGACAUACCUAUAGGGGUCUUAUAAGCAGUCCUAUAAGCCCACAAUGCAUCAUCCAAACGCAUGGACCAAUCCUUCCUUGUGGUGUUCACUGUCUUUUCAAGUAUGUACUUAAUCUCCCUAUUGCUUAUAUCAACCUGCCCACUAGUUUGAGGAUGAUAGGGUGUUGCCACCUUAUGCGUGAUUCCAUAUCUCUUCAAGAGUGCUGCAAAAGCUUGGUUAACAAAGUGGGAGCCACCAUCACUAAUGAUUGCUCUAGGUGUGCCAAACCUUGUAAAAAUAUUUCCUUUGAGAAAACCGAUCACAACUUUAGCAUCAUUAGUUCUAGUGGCAAUGGCUUCCACCCAUUUAGAAACAUAAUCGACAGAAACUAAUAUAUAUUCAAAUCCAUAAGAGGUAGGAAAAGGGCCCAUGAAAUCAAUUCCCCAAACAUCAAAUAUAUCAAUGAUUAAGAUAUUGGUGAGAGGCAUCUGGUUUCUAGCAUGUAAAUUACCCAUCCGUUGGCAUCUAUCACAUGAAGCACAAAAAACAUAAGCAUCCUUAAAAAGGGUAGGCCAAAAGAAACCUGAUUGUAGCACCUUGCUGGCAGUCUUCUUUGCUCCAAAAUGGCCUCCGCAUGCGUGGGAGUGACAAAACUCCAGAAUGCUCUUAAAAUCACCUUCAGGCACACACCUUCGAAUUACUUGGUCUGGACAAUGCUUGAAUAGAUAGGGAUCAUCCCAAAAGUAGUAUCUUGCUUGCUUCCUAAGCUUGUCACGUUGGAACGUAGAUAACCCUGUAGGGAGUUCGUUAGUGCACAAAUAGUUAACAAUAUCAGCAAACCAAGGCAAUGGAUUGAGAGAAUUCAAAGCACAAAUGGAGAAGAGUUGCUCAUCAGGGAAGCUUUCACGCAAUGGCAAUGAAUCCUCCUCUUCGUUAGAUACAUGCACCAAUCUACUCAAGUGAUCAGCCACGACAUUCUCACUUCCUUUCUUAUCUUUUAUCUCCAAGUCAAACUCUUGCAACAAGAGAAUCCAUCUAAUGAGUCGCGGUUUGGCAUCCUUCUUAGCUAACAAGUAUUUCAAUGCUGCAUGAUCAGUGUAAACAAUAACCUUGUUAGUAAUCAAAUAUGAUCUAAACUUCUCUAAAGCAAAUAUGACGGCUAACAACUCCUUCUCUGUGGUGGAAUAGUUGAGUUGGGCAUCGUUGAGGGUUCUACUAGCAUAGUAGAUGGCAUGUGGCUUCUUAUCAACUCGCUGUCCCAAAACAGCUCCAACAACAUAAUCUGAGGCAUCACACAUCAAUUCAAAGGGCAAGCUCCAAUCCGGUGGUAUAAUGACUGGGGCAGUUGUGAGCAUCUUCUUCAAAGCAUUGAAAGCAUUCUCACAGUCUUGAUCAAACACAAAAUCCAUGUCCUUGGCAAGGAGAUUGCACAUAGGCCUUGCAAUCUUAGAAAAAUCCUUAAUGAAACGCCUAUAGAAACCUGCAUGGCCAAGGAAAGAACGUACUUCUUUGACAGAAGUAGGUGAGGGCAUAGAGGCAAUCAAAUCAAUCUUAGCUUUAUCUACCUCAAUUCCUUUACUAGAGAUGACAUGACCAAGAACUAUGCCUUGGUUAACAAUAAAAUGACAUUUUUCCCAAUUAAGCACAAGGUUAGUAUGUUCACAUCUAGCCAACACCUUGGAUAAGUUAUGCAAGCAUUGAUCAAAAGAAUCACCAAAGACAGAGAAGUCAUCCAUGAAUACCUCAAUGAACCUUUCUACCAUGUCGGAGAAAAUGCUCAUCAUGCACCUUUGAAAAGUGGCUGGGGCGUUACAGAGACCAAAAGGCAUCCUCCUAUAGGCGAAAGUGCCAAAGGGACAUGUGAACGUGGUCGAUCCGCAGGCCGUGCAGCUAUGGCGAUUUGGUUGUAGCCUGAAUAUCCAUCAAGGAAGCAAUAGUGGCUAUGCCCAGCUAAUCUCUCAAGCAUUUGAUCAAUGAAUGGAAGAGGAAAGUGAUCUUUGCUUGUUGCUGUGUUGAGCUUCCUAUAAUCAAUGCAAACUCUCCAGCCCGUGGUCAUCCGUGUAGGUACAAGCUCGUUUGCUUCAUUCUUCACCACUGUGAUACCUGACUUCUUGGGGACAACUUGCACUGGGCUCACCCAUUGACUGUCAGAAAUAGGGUAAAUAAUACCAACAUUUAAAAGCUUCAUUACCUCUUUUCUUACCACCUCCUUCAUGUUUGGAUUGAGACGUCUUUGGGCAUCCCUCUUAGGCAUUGCAUUGUCUUCCAAUAAUAUCUUGUGCAUGCACAGUGUUGGGCUUAUGCCUUUGAUAUUUGCAAUGCUCCACCCAAUCGCAGUUUUGUGCUCUUUUAGAACUCUCAAAAGCUUCUUUUCAUCAUUUGGUCCGAGAUGUGAGGCAAUGAUAACAGGUAGAGUCUCAUUUUCACCUAAAUAAGCAUAUUUAAGGUGUUUUGGCAAUUGCUUUAAUUCCAACUCUGGUGCCUGCACAAUAGAAGGUAAAACCUUAUUAGUAGGUGGGGGUAAUGAUUCAAAUUGGUUUGCAUACCUCUUUCCAAUUUCUAUGUAGCUAUCCAUGCUGCAAACAAGCUCAAGAAGUAAAAAGAUCACAGCCUCAAAGCUGUCCACUUCUUCUUUCCUUAUGCUUUGUGUGAUGCAUGCUUCAAUGGGCUCCAAAUAACUCAUUGGCAGUGCUUCUUUCACCAUAGUAUCAAUUGCAUCAAGAUGGAAAACUUCAUGCUCAUCACUUGGAAACUUGGAGGCUUCAAACACUUUGAAUGCUAUUGUCUCAUCAAACACAUUCAUGGUCAAUGUACCCUUCUUCACAUCAAUAAUAGCACCGGCAGUUGCCAUGAAUGGCCGACCUAGAAUGAGUGGUAACUGAUUGUCAUGAAUUGGUGCUUCUUCCAUCUCCAACACCAAGAAAUCUGCUGGCAAAAUUAGCUCUUCCACUUUCACCAAAACAUCUUCUAGAAUGCCCUUAGGGUACCUAAUAGUUCUAUCUGCCAAUUGAAUGCUCACAGAUGUGGCUUGCAACUCACCAAGGUUAAGUUUCUCAUAAACAUGAUAUGGCAUAAGAUUUAUAGAAGCACCAAGAUCAAGCAAAGCUUUUUGAAACUUAAAAUCACCAACUAUGCAAGGUAUAGAAAACGAACCUGGAUCCUUUAGCUUUGGAGGCAGGUUUCUUUGUAACACUGCACUUACCUCUUCACUCAAUGCAACUUGUUCAUGCUCUUUGAAUCUCCUCUUGUUAGUGCAUAGAUCCUUCAAAAAAUUUGCAUACUUUGGAAUCUGAGUAAUGGCAUUGAGCAAUGGGAUGUUGAUUUGCACCUUCUUGAAUGUUUCCAUUAUCUCAUCCAAGCCUUGAUCUUUCUUUGACUUUGAUAACCUGCUGGGAAAGGGUGCAAUAGGCCUAAAAGCAUUAGUUGAAAUUGGAACUUGAUUAGCAUUAGAUGAUACCUUAGGGCCUGUGCUCUUUCCAGGAGCAUUGAUGGACUGAUUGUUGGAAGCUGUGGGCUGCCCAUGUGGUGGCUGAAUGAUCUCCACGUUUUCUCCAUCUUCUUGUUCUUCAUUGGCAUCUCCAACCUUAUUAUCAACUUGUUUACCACUUCUCAAGAUGUGUACUGCUUUAGCAUGCUCUUGAUGCCUUGGAUUCACCUCCGUUUGGCUUGGGAAAGUUCCGGAUGCUCUAUUGCUCAUGGAGGAUGCAAUCUGCCCAACUUGCACUUCUAGUUUGUUCACUGCAUUUUGAAGAUUCUGAUUGGUUUGCAUCUGUUGCCCCAUGAACUUCUUGAACAUGUCUUGCAAUUCUCCCAUUUGAUCACCCCUUUGCUCUUGCACUUGUUGCGGAGCUUGUUGGAAUUGCCUUUGUUGUGUUUGGAAUCCUGGGGGAGGUCCUUGAGAUUGUUGCACAUUUGAAUUGUUGCUCCACCUGAAAUUAGGAUGAUUUCUCCACCCCGGAUUGUAUGUGUUUGAGUAAGGAUCAUUAUUAGGAUUCCUUGCUUGAAGGGAAUUUGCUUGUUCUAGCAUGUGCUCCGCAAAAGAUUGGUCUACAAACUUCCACUUUGUUUCCUAGAGGGCCAGUCACUGCCUGUUGAAGCAAAGAACACAUAACAUCAAGUUUUGCAGCAAUUUCAUUAUUAGUACUUACCUCAGAGACCACAGCUUUCAUAGGAGCUCCUCUUCCUUUAUUGUGGCUCCAUUGUUGAGAGUUAGCACUCAAGGAUUCAAAGAGAGUAAAAGCCUCAUCUGCUGUUUUGUUCAUCAGUCCUUCUCCACUUGUUGAAUCUACCAUCAUCCUUUCGGAAUCAAGUAAACCUUCAUAGAAAGAUUGCAUUUGCAUCCAACUCUCUAUGUUGUGGUGUGGGCAAGAACUUAUCAUCUCCUUGUACCUCUCCCAACAUUCAUGAAAAGCUUCUCCUUCCUUUUGUGUGAAACCAAGAAUUUCCUUUCUAAUCUUGUUAGUCUUUUGAGCCGGAAAAAAUUUCUGCAAAAACUUAUUAGAAAGCUCUUCCCAAGUAUGAAUUGAAGCAUUAGGAAAAGAGUAUAACCAAGACUUAGCUUUAUCUUUUAAACUGAAUGGGAAUAGCCUCAUCUUAAUCUGCUCAUCAUCAAGGUUUUGAAUUUUGAUCGUAGCACAUAUUUCAAAGAAUUGCUUAAUAUGCAUGUAAGGAUCCUCAGUGGUAUUACCAUAAUAAGUUGGAAGAAGAUGAAUCAUACCACUUUUAAGCUCAAACCUGUCAACUGUGAGUUGAGGAUAGACGAUGCAUAAAGGUUGAUCGGUGACUUUGGGAAUGGAAAACUCACGCAGGGAUUUUCUUGGUUGGACAACAAGCACACCACCUCCUUCAUCAUUGUUGUUGUUCGAAAUCUCUACCAUGUUGCUUGAACCUUCAGAUUCGUAACUUUUAGAUUCAACGCUUGAAGAACUAUAGUUCUUCCUCAAACCAGCAUGCACAGCAGCGGUUCUUGGUGAAAGUGGCUCAGGUGAACUUUGCUCCUGGUCAGAUUCGGACAUGCACACACCAAGGAAGUCAAUUCAGUGCCUUCAAUGGAGAUAACAACAAAAUACAAAACUGAAUACUAAAAGAAAAACCAACGAAAAGAAACAAAUGAAAUAAACAAAAACAAAACAAUCAAAGUAAUCUAACUAUAGCACCAUCAUUACCGGUUCCCCGGCAACGGCGCCAAAAACUUGUUGAGCCUAUUGUUAACAACUAAAAUGAGUUAUUAAAAACAGCAACUUUAAUUCUCGCAAGUGCACGAACCGUUUAUAGUAUAGCUUAUGUAAAUACGAGGUCGAUCCCACGGAGAGUGGUAACUUGGUUCCAAGUUAAAUUACUUAGAAUGUUAGAAAAAUAUAGAACAAAGAAACUGACUAACUAGCUAAAGGCAUGGUCGAAUUCAACAAUGCCUCUUGCUAAUUACUCAAGGUCUAGGACAGAAUCCUAGCACCACACACGCACUCGAAAUGGGGGGUUUUGUUGUUGAAAUGAAAACAAGGAAGUGAAAUGAAAGUGCUCGAAAGUGAACACUGGUAGCAAUCAACAAGUUGUGAAACAAUGAUUGAGAGGUGUUAGAGCCUUGGAAUCCACCACUAGUUUUCCUAUCCAAGUUAUGAAUGCAUAGAAAUUGACUCAAGCUUCAUUAGCAAUAGAUUAUCGCAUACAAGCCUAUGGUAUCUAGGUGCAGGAUGCAUGAUUCUCCUAAGGCAUGUGAUUAUGCAUGGUAUCUACACAACACGUGAUCUCUAAUAUGCAACCUAAGCAUGGUAUCUACUUAGAAUAAAGCAUACAAGAGUCAUUAAGCUCCUUGAGAAUAUGAUAAUCACACAAGUCCUAGAACAUGGUAUCUGUCCUAGUCAACCUAUGGUUAUUAACCCCUUGAAUGAUUCUUAGGCCAUUCAUGUGUUGCUUGUGAAAGGAGAGUAGAAUAGGUGAAUCUAAACCCCUUCCCAACCUAUGCUAGAUGCAUAAAAUCCUAGUUAGCUACUCCAAGAGAACAUACAUCAAGCACAUAAUAAACUAGAGAUUAACAACUUGAUAAUAAAAGCAAGGAAAUCAAUUAACUAUAAAAUCAUCCAUAACAUUGAAUAUUCAUGACUAGGGCUUCAUCCUAAGCCCUAACUAAAUGGAUUAGUUAGACAUAACUAUGAAUACAGAAAAUAAGAAAUACAUAGAUAGGAUAAAGAGACGAGAAGAACUAGAUGAUGGGAGCAAGGAAGUUCCCAGGACAGCUCCAAGCUCCCUUCUCUCUUUGUGGUGAAUCUGAAUGUGUGUAUGAAAGUAAUGGAUGAAAUGAAUGUGUGUGUCUGCCCUCUCUCCCCUUGAAUGAGUGUGCAACUCUCUAUUUAUAGAGUGCAAUUUCGUGCUCCCCUUUGGCUGGUGAAGCACACCUCUCUUAGCUGCUGCCAACUGCUCUAGCUGCCCAUACAUGCCUGUUGCUCCAGCUGCCCAUACUUGCCUGUUGGACUUUUCUUGGUUUUUGAGUUCCCAUACUGAUUUGUCUCCCAUGUGUGGCUGCUCUAAUGUGUAGCACAUGGCUCUAGGGAUGUAGCCACAUUAAAUAUGAUGGCAGCCAACACGAUAUUUCUGUGAACUUGGUUCAGUCUUUGACGUGUUGAGGGCUCCAGUUUUAUCCAAUUGGGCUGAAAUUUGGAUAUGUUAUAAUAGACACCCAUUGGAACAACGUCUAUGAAGGAUGUCUCCUCAUCCGACCUGUGUAAGUUACUGAAAUGAGGCCUGCAAGAUGACCUACGAAACUGGACUGACAAGGAGUGUGGCACAAAUUGGUUUUGUCUUUAAGCUCAUAUUCCUCUUGUGCCACUCAGCCCUUAACAUGCAUGAAUUGUAUCAAAUGUCAUCCCCUUGCUAUCUUAACCUACAAAGCACACAAACAUAGGUAAGAGACUCAAAAUAAAGAGAAGCUAACAAAAUUACUAAGGAAAGAAGGCAUGCAAAUGUGUGAAAUUAUGAACUUAUCAAAUACCCCCAAACUUAGAUUUUGCUAGUCCUCGAGCAAAACAAAAUAAAACUACAACUUAGGAAACAGGAAAUAAGCAACUAGCCUUCCAAACAAUAUCCUCAAAGAAUCAUCAGUGUAAAUGGUUCGAAAGAAACACAACAAUCACAAUCUAAGUUCCACACAUGAUUCACGAGAAAGCAAAGCUAGCAUUGACACCCUUAAGUGUAGUGUGUGAAUGCCAAAUCCGAACAACACCUGCAUCUCAAAUAAGUACAUGUGCACACACUUAGAGCAAAAUCAAGAAUGCCGAACCCCAUAAGCUCAUUAUUCAAUCUGCUCUCCAUAGUAAUACCAUGCAACACCAAGGAUCAAAAGGAGUUUACAAGGGUAGUAAUGAGGUUUAGGGUAGUGGUUGAAUGAAAGAAGGGAUAUGAGAUAUACAAUAUUUUGAGCACACUUAAAGCACAGGUAAGAGCAUAAGAGAGUACUGAACUUUGUAACAAGCAAGGAACACAUACAUGAGCAGAUUUUCAACAUAAUUUCAGCACCUUGAAAUGUGUUUAUUUGGCCUAAUUUUGUGGCUCUUACCCUAGAUCACAUUGAAAUGUGNNNNNNNNNNNNNNNNNNNNNNNNNNNNNNNNNNNNNNNNNNNNNNNNNNNNNNNNNNNNNNNNNNNNNNNNNNNNNNNNNNNNNNNNNNNNNNNNNNNNNNNNNNNNNNCUCCUCGCUCAUUGCGACAGUAGUGUAUUUCAACACUUGGGUUACGGCACCAAUUAUUCACUUUUGCUCAAUAAACCUUGCAUUCUUUAUAACUCUCUUUUGAAGAUAACUUUAAUUGCUCAUACAAUAAGUAAGGAUAAGAAAACAGAGGCUCAUUAUGGUAGGAUUCGUUUACACAAAGAAAGGCUUAACAUAGGCUCAAAUGGGAUGACUAGGGAUGAAUACAUGUAGAGGGAUGGUUAGAAAGGCUCAAACGGUUCAAACAUGGCCUAAAUCACUUCCUAAGCAUUGUAUGGCAACAAAAUGUCUCAAGAAAUAUUCAAAUAAGUUCUAGAGUACGAAACCAAGAUCAUGAGAUAAGU